GAAGGUGUCAAAUCCAAUCAUCCAAUCCAGUACCUGUUAUUAUUAGUCACGCAGCCAUAAACACGUGACAGUAUGGUAAAGAUAUUGGAGAGGGAGGACAGGUCCGAGGGCCGAGGGCCAUGAGUGUACCAUGGAGAUGGAGUCAGCAGGUGUCCAACCUAUUGGUAACAAUGUGACAGACCACAUGGCAUUGCACUGUAGAAGACACUAAUUGCCAUAUUCACCACUGUGAGAACCAUAUCUCCGGUUCAUUGUUGGUUUCUCUGUACACUAAAUGUGUGACAUGAAUACUCCUUGGAAUGGACAGCAGCGGGUACCUCUGGAAAGGUUUACUCAUUGUACAGCUGUUUCAUUUUUCAUAUUAUUAAAAGGGAACUGAAAUGUGAAAAUGACACUGUGCAAUGAUGAUUUGCUGUUGUAGGCUGCAUGGCAAUUCACUCUCUUCACUAAAGAGUGAUCAUUCUUCAUGCUUAUUUCAAACUUAUUCAGUCUUAUAUUUUAAAUUUAUUGGAAUUUUCUCUUCAAACAUUAAUUUUAGUAAUAAAGGUUAUAAAACAUUGAUCAUCUCCAUGACCAUGUUAUCUAAAAUCAGGGAUUUUUUUUGGUCACCCCUGUGGGAUAUGGUACCAACGUAUUUUUCAUAAACAAUAGGAAGGAAUUAAAAAUUCUGAACUAAAGAAGUAGGGGAAUAUCAGACUUCGUAUUUAGGUCACAUUCUUGGAUGUGACACCAUGCAGUUUGGUAGAUAGGUACUAGUGUUUCCAAAGAACCUCCUGCAACCAUCUUCAGGGCAGAUGGAAGCUGAAGACGGGUUGCUCCAAAAUGUUAGUACUAAACUACUGAGCUGUAUGGCGUCACAUCCCAGAAUCUUAAUGUAUGUCACCGUAUGAACCUAAGAUCUAUAUAUUUUGGAACUGUACAAUUAGAAUGUUGCCAUGUUGGUAUUGUUUGUAUGAAGGAUUUAACAUGGCAUGUCUUGAUAAGGUCCGGUUUUAUUUCUCAUAAAAAGUCUUAAGAAGUAACGCUUCCCUGCCCCUUUGCAAAGAAUUAACUGCAACUUUCAUAUUUGUUUUAUGCUGUAAGUCUUCAUAUAUAUAUGACAGUGUUAUUUUAGUCAUAUUGAAAUCAUAAAAUACAGUUGGCGCCUAAAUUGAAAAAGAAAAUACCUGAAGUAAUUCAUUAGAAAUGUAAGUCAUAAAUACAGUUUUAUGAUAAAACCAUAAUAGAAAUAGUAGUUCAGUGAGAUGCUGUCCGCUUAUUACCAAGUGUUCUUCAUAAAUUCAUCAGUUGUUGUGUUCCUGCUGUGUGAGACUAAUACAUUAGAUUUGUGAGUUGUUUUUUGAACUUCAGUGAACAUAAAAAUUAUUUUAAUUUAAAGGAAAAGAUUAUAUUAGGUUCUUUUGCUGCAUGAUUACAAAUGCUGACAACAUUGUGGAAAUUAUCCACUGACAAGAAUUGUGAAGUAGGUGCUUGUAAAUAUUUACAUUACUUUCACUGUCUUUGAAUGGAGUACCUAUAUAACAUGUUUGAGUGUAGAAGUCAGUGACUUUUUUGACUAGUGUAGUGCCUGCAGUCUUGAAUGAAUGCUUUUGUUAUAGGCAUAUGAAUGCAUCUUUGUGGAAUGCUGAUUUUGGUGUAGUUAUGUUUGUAUUUUGUCUUGGUUUUAGAAUAAGGGAUGUUGUAUAAAUUCAUGCAGUACACCUUUUUGUUAUAUAUUUUAAUUUGUUUUUUGAGAAGCUUCCUGAACACAUUUAUAAGUUAAUGUGUGUUAUGGAUAUAACAUUUUAAGAUACUUAGAUUUAAAUUUGCUUUGCACAGAUUUAUAUAAGUAUGUAAGUAAUUAAUAUUUUGAAUGCUCAGUAUGUGAUUUUGUGUGGUGUAUAUAAUAUUUGUGUUCACUGAAUAAACCAAUAAGGUGUUCAAUAUGGAUUGAAAA
Cryptotermes secundus is the source of this 1936-nucleotide long non-coding RNA. RefSeq lists it as uncharacterized. The transcript is spliced from 2 exons. Lineage: Eukaryota; Metazoa; Arthropoda; Insecta; Blattodea; Kalotermitidae. The record is from RefSeq and is a predicted model, not a curated record.